RNAcentral lists this ribosomal RNA (610 nucleotides) under Cordyceps roseostromata. RNAcentral describes it as "LSU rRNA". It matches the Rfam family "Eukaryotic large subunit ribosomal RNA", at positions 187 to 824 of the family's 3401-position model. The record is from RNAcentral. Lineage: Eukaryota; Fungi; Ascomycota; Sordariomycetes; Hypocreales; Cordycipitaceae.
UCCCUGGAACGGGACGCCAUAAAGGGUGAGAGCCCCGUCUGGUCGGACACCGAGCCUCUGUAAAGCUCCUUCGACGAGUCGAGUAGUUUGGGAAUGCUGCUCAAAAUGGGAGGUAUAUGUCUUCUAAAGCUAAAUAUUGGCCAGAGACCGAUAGCGCACAAGUAGAGUGAUCGAAAGAUGAAAAGCACUUUGAAAAGAGGGUUAAAAAGUACGUGAAAUUGUUGAAAGGGAAGCGCCUAUGACCAGACUUGGGCCCGGUGAAUCACCCAGCGUUCUCGCUGGUGCACUUCGCCGGGCACAGGCCAGCAUCAGUUUGGCGCGGGGGAGAAAGGCUUCGGGAAUGUGGCUCCCCCGGGAGUGUUAUAGCCCGUUGCGCAAUACCCUGCGCUGGACUGAGGUACGCGCAUUCGCAAGGAUGCUGGCGUAAUGGUCAUCAGCGACCCGUCUUGAAACACGGACCAAGGAGUCGUCUUCGUAUGCGAGUGUUCGGGUGUCAAACCCCUACGCGUAAUGAAAGUGAACGCAGGUGAGAGCUUCGGCGCAUCAUCGACCGAUCCUGAUGUUCUCGGAUGGAUUUGAGUAAGAGCAUACGGGGCCGGACCCGAAAGAA